GGUGAACGCUGGCGGCGUGCUUAAGACAUGCAAGUCGAACGCAGUCUUCGGACUGAGUGGCGCACGGGUGAGUAACACGUAACUGACCUACCCCCAAGUCGCGGAUAACUGGCCGAAAGGUCAGCUAAUACGUGAUGUGAUGUCCCCUUUCUGGGGGGCCAUUAAAGGUUUACUGCUUGGGGAUGGGGUUGCGUUCCAUCAGCUAGUUGGCGGGGUAAGGGCCCACCAAGGCAACGACGGAUAGCCGGCCUGAGAGGGUGGCCGGCCACAGGGGCACUGAGACACGGGUACCGCUCCUACGGGAGGCAGCAGUUAGGAAUCUUGCACAAUGGGCGAAAGCCUGAUGGAGCGACGCCGCGUGAGGGAUGAAGGUUCUAGGAUCGUAAACCUCUGAAUCAGGGACGAAAGCCGCGUAAGCGGGAUGACGGUACCUGAGUAAUAGCACCGGCUAACUCCGUGCCAGCCGCCGCGGUAA
RNAcentral lists this ribosomal RNA (475 nucleotides) under uncultured bacterium. RNAcentral's name for it is "partial 16S ribosomal RNA". It matches the Rfam family "Bacterial small subunit ribosomal RNA", at positions 28 to 523 of the family's 1533-position model. The record is from RNAcentral.